RNAcentral lists this long non-coding RNA (1936 nucleotides) under Vigna radiata. RNAcentral's name for it is "long non-coding RNA (VRAD_LNC013658)". The record is from RNAcentral. Lineage: Eukaryota; Viridiplantae; Streptophyta; Magnoliopsida; Fabales; Fabaceae.
AUUUUAUAUUUUUAUUUAUUUGAAAUUAUAUAAUUUUGUGAAUUUAUUUCAAUUAGAAUAUUAUUUAUAUAAUUUUUUUUAAAGUCAAGUUUACUAAUCAAAUUUCGCAACCUUGUAUACAACAAUUGACUGUUUUCACAAUGGAAAAUGGAUAUAGUUGAUCCCUUGACAGGGGUUUGUCGGAUGGUUGCGGGAAAGAACUCCCCGCUUUAUUAGUCCGUUAGGGUUACAAGCUCCCAGACCCAAGCGUGGUAAAAAAAGUGAUGGUCCAAGCACUGUGUUUUUGAAGACAUAAUCAAUGGUGGUUUAUUCAGAGUUGCCGCUUUAAUUUUGCCUACUCCGCUGAGAGCGGAAUAUUAACCGUCCUGUUUUAACUCAAUGCCCUCGUUUGUUGUUGAUGUAAUACAGCAAUGGGUCAUCCCAUGCCUCAUCAACGUCUCUACUCAAAGGAGACCUUCCGGCAAGGAUAAGCACCACACUCGGUCUAACAGUACAAGUUCAAUCACCUUAAUGCUCCCGCUAGGGUUACAAGCUAGCGCUACCUAGCUCGGCAAUUCAUUCAGAUUGUCAGAGGUUUAUAAAGAAUAUGAUCCUCCGUUAACUGUCAGAUGUGGGCCUUCAAAAGGAAAGUAGUUAAAGAGAAAUUUUGGUAGAGGAAGCAAGUGGUUAAAAUUGCGAUGCUAGUUAAACUAUUUCAAUUACGAAAUUCAGUUUACCAAAAAGUUGUUAGUGUUAGAGAAAAAUUAGUACAGUGAUAUUCAAAUAUAAAGAGGUGAAGGUUUCGAGCACUAUCUUUGGGACCUUUGGAAAAGGUGGUGAUCAAAGCCGGCUUAGUCAGAUUCUUUUAAGCAAAAAAUCUGAUGAUGAAAUAAUUUAGUAUAUAAACAACUGGCAGAUUAUGAACCAUUAUCCUUCAUUUGCUUGCGUUUAUUUAAUCCUCUGUAUGCACACGAUACUACGUCAGAGUCAAUGCAUGACUGAAAAAUGGACUUCUUCAUGUGUCUCUGUUUCGCAGCCAUCUCGUUGUAUGUGGUGGUCCUCUUCAUGUGUCUCUGUUUCGCAGCCAGCAAUGGACAUCAUCUCACAAAUUCUUAUGUUUUUAAGUUCAUCUCUACACUGUUUUUAAGUUGGUUUAAGAACUAUUUGGUUGGUUGUGUGCCUUGUUAAGUAAAGUGUUGCAUUGUAUUUAAGUUCUAUAAAAAGUCCUAUGAUACACUCUUUGAAAACCCAUUAAAUUCAAUGAUUAGAGGAUUCCACUUUUACAAUAAUUUAUGUUUUAAUUUAUAUUUUAUAAUAUUUAUAUAAACAAUAUUUUUAUGAUUUUAUUUAUUUAAAAUUAUAUAAUUUUAUGAAUUUACUUGAAUUAAAAUAUUAUUUAUAUAAUUUUUUUAUAUAAAAUAAACUCUAACAAAUUUAUUAAUCAAGUAUAUCGAAUUUCCACGAAUUUACGUAAAUAUUUGAGUUUCACGACCUUGUAUACAACAAGUGACCAGAACAUGGUAUCCAUGUUUGCACAAUGAAAAAUGGAUAUACUUUCUCAUGCAUAAUGGAAUUGUAGGCUUAAAAUAUAAAAAAGAUGAUGGUCCAAGCACUGUGUUUUUGAAGACCUGAAUGGUGAUUCAAAGCUCCCGCUGUAAUUUUCCCAACACCGCUUAGUGUGGGUAGCAGAACUAGCUGUUCCAACCCGUCCUGUUUUAACUCAAAUGCCCUCGUUUGUGGUUGAUGUAGCAGAGCAAUGGGUCAUCCCAUGCCUCAUCAACGAACGUCCCUACUCUGGUAACAGAGGAGACCUUCUCUACUCCCAUAAGGGAGAAAGAAGAUUCCACUUCUUAUAAAGAGUGGAAAGCAGGCUGCCAUAGGCACCACACUCGGACUAACAGUACAAAUUCCAUCACCUUAAUGCUCCUGCUAGGGUUACAAGCUAGCGCUACCUAAC